This 668-nucleotide ribosomal RNA is filed under the name Nematoda environmental sample. RNAcentral's name for it is "LSU rRNA". It matches the Rfam family "Eukaryotic large subunit ribosomal RNA", at positions 646 to 1283 of the family's 3401-position model. The record is from RNAcentral. Lineage: Eukaryota; Metazoa; Nematoda.
GACCCGUCUUGAAACACGGACCAAGGAGUCUGGCAUGUGCGCAAGUCACUAGUUGGUAAAUCGGAGAGGCGAAAUGAAAGUGAAAGCCGACUCGAUCGGCCGCUAUGGGAUUCGUGCUUUAUGCUUGGGCGCGACGCACCAUAGCCCCGUCUUUGUUGCUUGCAAUAGGGCGGAGGUAGAGCGUACAUGCCGGUACCCGAAAGAUGGUGAACUAUGCCUGAGCAGGAUGAAGCCAGAGGAAACUCUGGUGGAAGCUCGAAGCGGUUCUGACGUGCAAAUCGAUCGUCUGACUUGGGUAUAGGGGCGAAAGACUAAUCGAACCAUCUAGUAGCUGGUUCCCUUUGAAGUUUCCCCCAGGAUAGCUGGAGUUGUGUUAUAUGGCAGUUAUAUUCGGUAAAGCAAAUGAUUAGAGGAAUUGGGGACGAAACGACCUCGACCUAUUCUCAAACUUUUAAUGGGUAUGAAGUCGCGCUUGCUUAAUUGAAGCGUCGACAUUGAAUGCGAGCUCCAAGUGGGCCAUUUUUGGUAAGCAGAACUGGCGCUGUGGGAUGAACCAAACGUUAAGUUAAAGUGCCGAACUUCUCGCUCAUGAGACCCCAUGAAAGGCGUUGGUUGAUAUAGACAGCAGGACGGUGGCCAUGGAAGUCGGAAUCCGCUAAGGAGUGUGU